AGUGGGGAAUAUUGGACAAUGGGCGAAAGCCUGAUCCAGCCAUGCCGCGUGUGUGAAGAAGGCCCUCGGGUUGUAAAGCACUUUCAGCGAGGAAGAACGCCUAGUGGUUAAUACCCGCUAGGAAAGACAUCACUCGCAGAAGAAGCACCGGCUAACUCCGUGCCAGCAGCCGCGGUAAUACGGAGGGUGCAAGCGUUAAUCGGAAUUACUGGGCGUAAAGCGCGCGUAGGUGGCUUGAUAAGCCGGUUGUGAAAGCCCCGGGCUCAACCUGGGAACGGCAUCCGGAACUGUCAGGCUAGAGUGCAGGAGAGGAAGGUAGAAUUCCCGGUGUAGCGGUGAAAUGCGUAGAGAUCGGGAGGAAUACCAGUGGCGAAGGCGGCCUUCUGGACUGACACUGACACUGAGGUGCGAAAGCGUGGGUAGCAAACAGGAUUAGAUACCCGUG
This 445-nucleotide ribosomal RNA is filed under the name Corynebacterium amycolatum. RNAcentral describes it as "bacterial SSU rRNA". It matches the Rfam family "Bacterial small subunit ribosomal RNA", at positions 353 to 790 of the family's 1533-position model. The record is from RNAcentral. Lineage: Bacteria; Bacillati; Actinomycetota; Actinomycetes; Mycobacteriales; Corynebacteriaceae.